GCGGGCUUGGAGUGAAGCUGCUGUUGUUGGUUUUUUACUCCUUCAUUUUCUCAGCUGAAGCCUGGAAUGCAUGUGUCUGGUUGCAGGCAAGCUGGAGCCUAUCCCAGCUGACUAUGGGCGAGAGGCAGGGUACAUCCUGGACAAGUCGCCAGGUCAUCGCAGAGCUGACACAUAGAGACAAACUGACCUGCAAGCUGAUUGGUGUCCUGAUUUACUGCAGAAGACUGAGACUGAUAUUCUACACCUUCUCAACAGAGUAAAGCAGUGAACAGGUUAAAACAUUGCCUUUGCAGUGGUAGAAACCUUCAUCUGACUUUGAGACACUCCUGAUGGUCAUCUCUCCUGUAGUCUGCUUCUGGAGAACUGAAUCAUUUUUAUAGAAAUCAACACCAGACUCUGAGAUCUUUGUGUUGCGAUACAAACAGCGUAAAGUCAGAGGACGUCCCUCAGUAACAGGAUGGACAGGACUGUCCAGGAUCACGUCACCAUCUGUAGGAAAGAGAAAGAAGACACUGAAAACAGAAUAUGUGCAAAACGCAGUGUAAUUCUCCUUUAUUAGUGUAAGAUUCAGUCCUUUACAAGGCUUAGAAAACACAUUGCAUUUCUUUGUGAGAUUGCUGCAUUUUAUGGAGUUGUUCUUUAUUCUUUAACAUGCCAUGUUUACGUGGGGCAGAAAACACAAAUGGGGUAUUUUAUCAUUUUAUUGUUGCAGUCUCAGAAACAAAGAUGCCAAACUGUACGUUUAGCUGCUUAUAUAUCUGGGGUUGUGUGUUUUUUCUUUUGAUUUGUUUCAUAUUUGAUAUUGUGUUUUAUAUUUGUGAUGAGAUAUGUACUGGCCGUCAUGUUAUUUGUAUUUGAUGUUAAUGGGAUGUGACGUUGCAUGGGUUGGGUUUCACAUGGACCCUUUUUAUUGUUGCACACUUACUCUGAAGUGGACGAAGCCAGUAGCUGAUUAGCGGCUAUGCCGGUAUGCUGCAUAGUCUAAAGUUUGUUUUACCUUGUUGUAUGCCUGAAAGUCCUACUCAUUUCCCUCUGAGUGAUAUGCAGCCAGCGAGGUGUGUGUUUUGUUUUUUUUUUUGUAUUAUGCCUUCUGGUGUUUGUUGGUGUUGGAAUUGUCUAGUGAUUGUACUCUCGAGUUCCGAAUAACCGUGCAUGCACGGCUAUUUAUUUUUGCGAAAAAUUCCCGCCUGCACGGUCUUAUUCGGGCCUACACGCUUAUUCUAUUUGUCAAUACAAGCACGUGUGACGAAUGAGCGAAAAUAACGCCUGAACACAGACGACUCACUACGCACAUGCGCAGACACAACGAAGCACCGCCGAUGCACCAACACCACUGCCGGUGGUAAACAACGGUAUCUAUGAUUGAUUUGUAUCUAUUGGCUGAUCAUCCCUUCAUAUUCUAAUUGUGAUAUUGUUGAAGAAUCGGAUGAAGACUUAACGGUUCAUGCUCUUUCACCUGCUGGAUUCAAAUGGUGCAAUAAAGUCUUCCUCUGCCUCUGUAAUAGAAUUUUGACAUUUUUAAAUUAGAAUUUUGAUGUUUUAAGACCUUAAAUAAAGGUAAAUUAAAGCAAUUUGCAUACUUGAGUUUCUCAAGCAAAAGUACUCUACUAGUAUCCAGAUAUUCUUUUUGUUUUAGAUAAAAAGAACACGAACAAGAAAUUUUGACAGCCAUGAUAUUUGUCUGUUUACUGAAUUGAUAUUUGGUCUCCAAGAUCUGUUCAGCAUAAUUUUCUAGACUACAAGUGUGCUUAUCGCUUAUUAUAUUUGUCCUAAUGUGCCAUCCUAUACUCUUAUUCCCAACUGCACUAUUAUUCGAAACUCGAGAAUUUUCCGGCCUUCAUGCUUAUUUCCACCCUAUACUCUUAUUAAUUUUUGCCCAUUUUGCCGCCCUACACUCUUAUUCCCAACUGCGCUAUUAUUCGGAACUCGAGAGUAUGUGUUGUUACUAUUCUAAACAGUUCGACGGUGGAUAAUGAAAUUAAAGGAAGAAAAUAAAUCCAUCAGUAACUGAAGAACUUGUGUCGCGUGUUUCCUGGAGGGGAGUGAUAGUCGAACUCGAGCUGAAAUUAACAUCGGACAAUAGACUGAAGUUACUUUUGCAAGACGGAGUCGUUUGUCUGUUCGGGGUCGCCUGUGAAUGAAGUUGUUCCUGCGACUGACACGAACUUAUCUGAAGGAGGCUAGUACUAGUGCUACGUCUUUUAGUUGAAGAAGGAGCAGCAUCAAACAGAUAAGCAUCAAAAAGAGUUAUUUUUUUCUUUUCUGAUUGUUUUGGUUAAGACUUUUAAUCAAUUGAUGAACAUUUAACGUGGGUUCAUGGACAUUAAG
Molecule: long non-coding RNA, 2328 nt
Organism: Neoarius graeffei (lesser salmon catfish)
Lineage: Eukaryota; Metazoa; Chordata; Actinopteri; Siluriformes; Ariidae
Exons: 4
Source: RefSeq, a predicted model, not a curated record